Molecule: ribosomal RNA, 51 nt
Filed under: Cyanthillium cinereum
Lineage: Eukaryota; Viridiplantae; Streptophyta; Magnoliopsida; Asterales; Asteraceae
Description: partial 26S ribosomal RNA
Source: RNAcentral
UGCGACCCCAGGUCAGACGGGACUACCCGCUGAGUUUAAGCAUAUCAAUAA